This is a long non-coding RNA of Ictalurus punctatus (channel catfish), 673 nucleotides long. NCBI's taxonomy places the organism in Eukaryota, Metazoa, Chordata, Actinopteri, Siluriformes, Ictaluridae. The record is from Ensembl.
GGCCUGAUCGUAAUUUCUUUGUGUGUUAUCCUGUGUUUUAUGUAGGAUUCUGUAGUGUAUAGAGUGGACCUAUUUCUUUAAGUGGAAUCACUCCCCUUAGUGACUUCUGAUUGGUAAUUAGCCGUGCGCAUGGAUAUGUUGUUUUGCGCUUGCUCUGGUUAAUACAGGAGUUAACUUUACCUCCGAGUGUCUCCUUUGUUUUUUUCUUAAGUUGUAGUCUAACAUAAAGACACAACCGAUUCGUUUUAUUCCCUCUGCUACGAUCUCCUUAUUUCCACUUUUUAUGUCUCCAUUGUGCAGACUAAGAAUGGAGUUUAUUUUCUUCAUCUGGUGAUCAGUGAGUAAUCCUGAGGCGUAAGGCCGCUCUUGCCCCAGAGGCUCGGACCUCGACCUGAGUGGAGGUUUUUCUUGGGAGGAGCGGCAUGUAUCUUUCUGUGACAAAGUCAAGCAGACGCCUUAAUGCUCACCAGGGAGUUUAUUCUGAGUCUGCGCUCAGCUGUGGAUCAGUUGACCCUGCGUGAGACAUUCCUGUGGAAUUACUGCAAAGCUCCAAGAGAACUGUGGAGAUAUUGCAGAAGCCCAACAGAGCCUGGCCUUCAGCAAGUAAAACCAAUAGGAAACGGGGUAAGCACGGAGGAGUAAAGUGUAGAUUGAAAGUGCACCAAAGAUUUAC